AAGAAAAGAAAUGGGCCCGGCAGGUGGGGGGCGGGGGCCGGCAGACUGGGGAAGGGGGCUACCCUCCCCUAGGUGGCAGUCUGGCCCUGGCUGUCUGUCCUUUCCUGCUGAUCGGUCCAGGCACAGCCCCAGGAUGCCUUCCCCGCUGCUGCCUCCUCUCCCUCUGGAAACAGCCCUCUCCCCUGACUCGUGUAGACCACGGCCCCGGAGGAUGACUCAGCCUGAGCCCUGGAGCCAGCUGUCCCUCUGCCUCCUCCUCCUCCCCAGCUGUCCCCCUCUGGCAGAAGUUCCCGGGACGUGAUUGUCACCAACCCCAGGCUGGCUGUGCCAGGAUGGCUGCGGCCAGCACCCGAGGGCGGGGUGGCUCUGCCUGCAUGUCCUCCGGGCCGGCCUCUGGCCAGGGCACUCAUGCCCUUUGAGUCAGGGGGCCCUGCUCACCCCUUACUGGUGAGCCCCCUUCAGAUAAACAUGAGAACCUCAGGUCCUCUUGUACUUUUAAAGUCAUUUCCAUAUUUUGACCAAAGGAAACCGAAUUUUAGAAUUUGCUCUUUCAGGCUACUCUCAGCUUGGGACCCCAGUCUGGUCCAUCCCACCAGCCCCCUUGGGAAUCUCAAUUUACUGAACCCCUGACACAUAGAUCAAGUUUCCCCUUGGGUGGAUGGGGAAACUGAGGCUCAGAGGAGAAAAGGGACUUGCCCAAGGUCAGCCGCUGGAAGGGACAGGCUUGGGGGGUGGGGCUCCCAGCACCAGGGUCCCCAGGAAAUGGAAUUCUGAGAGGACAGCUGUGGGCCUAGCCUUCCAGGGCCAGGAGGGGGGCCACUGUGACCCUUAGUGGCCCAACAGUCAAAUGAUAGCAGCAGCUGCUUAGUAAGCUCGAGUCUCAAACCUUUAUUCCCUUUUUCAUCCACGAAUUCAUUUAGGGCCUGGGUUGGAAGACCAGCUCCAGUAAACUUAGUGCUCUGUGACUUUGGGCAAGUCAGUUAACCUCUCUGGGACUCAGUCUCCUCAUCGAUAAGAGGGGUGUGAUGAUAACAGCGCCUGCCUCCCAGGGCUGGAGUGAAGAGGGAAUGAGUCACUGUGUGGACAGUGCGUAGAAAGCGCCCAGCACUGUCGGGGGCCUGAGGAAGGUGAGCUGACAUUGUUAUUAGGAUUCCUGGUGACUGCAUGUGUGGCAGAGCCACUUCCACUCCCCUGGUGAGAAACUGCAGCCUGGGACCCUUCACCAGAGAGAGAAAGAAACUCAGGGAGCAGGCCCGCUUCCUGCUGCCACCCCCCGUGGGGCUGCUGCCCGAGCGCACGGGCGUGACCAAUGGUGAAGGGCGAGCGGGAACCCCGGGUGCUCUUCCAGGGGAUUGGUGGACGUGAAUUCAUUCGACCUCAUGAAGGCCUUGGGGUUCACCCUGUGGUGCUCAUGCCCAACCAUUUGCUGUUCCUGGAAUAUCCUGGGCUCUCCCACGUCCCCGUCACUUUGCAUGCUCUGGUCCGUCUUCCCUCCCAAAAGAGAGACUUUCUGGUCAGCUCGGACUCACUCCUGGAGUCCCACUUUGGGGAGCAUGUCCUCUCCCCCUGCCGGCCCAGCCUGGAACAGGCCCCGCGCUUGCCGGCAUGGCCUCCCUCAGGGCACUGACCACAUGGUGCUCUAUCCUCGACGCUGUGUCUGCAGGGACCCCAGCAACAAGGACUGUUGGCAAGCUGUGGGCCAAUGGGUGGAAUCCAGGGCUGGUCACGGAGAGCAGCUGAUUCUGCUCCUCAUGCAAAGGGAGGGGGCAGCUGUGGGAACUGGGAAGGGGAAACACCCUGGAGAGGCCCCUGCAGGAAAUGUGGGUUCUCCUGGAGGGAUGGAGCCAGCCUGCGGCUACCCAGCAGGGCAGGGUCAGGGGAGCAGACGGUCCAGCUUCACUCUCCCCAAACUCCAACCUCCAGCACUUCCCCACUGCAAGCCGAGGGCGGGGAGCCCGGGAUGCUGUCCAUCGGGUUGGCCUUCAGGCAGAGAGCAGGGGGCUGGGAGGAGAGUGGGUCUGGAGAGGCAGAGAGAGACCCCGAGCUCUCGUGUCUGUCUCCCUGCCAUGCCGUGAGGCCCAGCGCCGAUGGAGAGCAAGUGUAGAGGCUUCACAGUGUGUCUGCACGUCCUCGGGCUGUCCCUCCGUCAAGAGAUGGAACCCAGGUCCCCUCGCUGGAACACGGCUGGGUCGGUGACGGGCUCCUCAAGAGCGGAAUGUGGGGGGGGUCACUGUGUGAUCCGAAGGGCGAGGUCACGAAAGCGAGGCAGCGUCCGCCCGGCCGUGUCUCUUGGGUCCCUUGCGCUUGCAACCAAGUGUCCACAUUACAAGGAAGCCGAGUGACCACGUGGCUGUAUCCAGCAGACAGCAGGCCGCGGUGUGGGCGAGCCUGGAGACGAGGACUGCAGCCCAGACCCCGAGCGACCUGAGCCUGCGCCCCCUCACUGCGCUGGUUGACCCCGAGAGCAGGGAGAGGCCAUAAUAAAAUAUUGAACUGUUGUGUUUGAAACGAUUACAUUCCGGAGUGAUUUCUUAUGCAGCAGUGAAAAUCCGAACAGCACGUGUGUCACAGAUGUUUGGUGAAGGAACUCUCUUGGGUACCUGAUUAGGUGGAAUUUCUUUUUAAGAGAAGCUGCCAUGUAAAGCAUCCCAGAGUUUCCAUCGAGUGGCAGCGACCUCAGGUCCCCUGGAGCGGUUCCCUCUGCUCUGGAGAGGCCCUCAGUGACCCCUUGGAGACACUCUCACACAAGGUGAGAGGUGAGAUACGAGUGACCCCGAUCUGGCCAAC
This is a long non-coding RNA of Equus asinus (donkey), 2787 nucleotides long. The record is from Ensembl. NCBI's taxonomy places the organism in Eukaryota, Metazoa, Chordata, Mammalia, Perissodactyla, Equidae.